This 1262-nucleotide long non-coding RNA is filed under the name Anolis carolinensis (green anole). RNAcentral describes it as "lncRNA (ENSACAG00000042063.1)". Lineage: Eukaryota; Metazoa; Chordata; Lepidosauria; Squamata; Anolidae. The record is from RNAcentral.
UCAUAAUGACAAACUUUAAAUACUGAUGGAGUUUCUUGGGGUUAUUCUGGCAUGGUGUCAAUUGUAGUUAGGCUACAACCUUAUACUUUUUGUAUAAUUAAAAUUGACUUUUUCAAAUAACCCAGGCAACACUGGUUCAACUCUAAAAAAAUGUGCUGGUUCAACUCUUAAAAAAAAGAUGUAAUCCUAACCCAAAAUCUGUUUUCUUCAACUUUUAUCUACAACGUCAUGUUGUGAUUUUGGGUGCAGAUAUAACAACAAGUCAUGACUAAACAAUAAGCAAUAACUUCAUAAGCAACAACAGCCCAUGGCUUUUAGCUGUGGCAUGCAUCAAACCAUGGUUUCUUUGCAGGGACAGGCUCAAACAAAAGGGAAAAACAGGAUUCAAUAAACCACAACUUGGCAUAUUGCUAUUAUAUACACACUUGACCUUUGUCUUAAGUCAUAUCCGUAUUGUCUUCUUAAAACUUGGGAAUGUGUCUGGAUACCCUAAAAAUGCUAAGAAUGCCUUUUCCAAAUUAUAUCUCCACCCACAACCCUUAAUCAGAACACUGAUCUUAAUUUUUAGCUCCACUCUGAUUUUUUUCAUUGUUUCUUUUCUUUGCAGGUCAGACGGGGAAAAUUCAAGAACUGUCAGAUGGGGAACUGAGUCUGGCAGAGAGUGACUUGCCCAAGGCCAUUCACACACAGCCAUAGCAGCUGGACUCGCAACAUUCAGCAUCCACUGGGCCACACUUUUAAGCCUCUUGCUUUGUGUUCUGUCCUUAGUGGAUCUCGUGAGACCAGCCCCUCCAGUUCUGCAUGAUCUUCUUCCAAAUACUCAAAAAACCUCUCAACAGAGUCCCCUUUAAUCUUUCCACUCAGCAAAACAUGCCAGUUUCUUCCCGGCUUGCUUCCUGUGAGUUGUCUUCUAGACAUUGGUCAUCCUUGCAGCUCUUCUCUGAAUCCUUUCCGAUCGAUCAACAUUUUUUCUGAACUGUGAUGCUCAGAACUGAACACUCUUCUGAUUCCUGACCCUUGCAUCCAGCCCCCCACCCACCCUGUUUUCAUCAACCUUGUUCUGUAGAUUUGUGCAUUUCUCUGUACAUGUGUCUGAAGCUUAUCACUGUGAAACAUGAGAGCCAGAAACAUGCUUCCGUUUGGAAAAUCAAAAGUGUAUAGUGUGAUGAGAAAGACAUACUGUAAUUGCAAGAUAUUGCUUAAGUUGUUAUUGGCAUAAUUGAAAUAACACGCUUUCUUUGUAAGAACAUUUAAUUAGAAUG